GAAAAUAACUCAGCAACUCACAAAAUCCCUAAUCGCAUACCUUCCCUUUGUUAAAGAAGAGGUGUGAAUCUUACAACUUAUGAUGAUGGCUGGUGAUUGGUGCAUGGAAUUUCAUCCAUUGAGACUAAUCAACGUCGCAGGUGCACCAUGCUCCAUCUUUUCACGGAGACAGGUUGCUUCAUCCAGAGGUACUAAGCCAGAGCAAUCAAUUAUUUAAAUCAGGCCAUAUUUUAGUUCCUUUUACUGGGGAGAGGAAGAAGAAAGAAAAACACAUGGGGAGAGAGAGGAGGAAGAAAAAGGAAAAAAAAAUCCAACAAAAUUAUUUUUUUAUUUUUUAUUUUAACGAAAUAAAUAAUUAAAACAAUUUAUGUA
Gossypium arboreum is the source of this 372-nucleotide long non-coding RNA. RefSeq lists it as uncharacterized. NCBI's taxonomy places the organism in Eukaryota, Viridiplantae, Streptophyta, Magnoliopsida, Malvales, Malvaceae. The transcript is spliced from 2 exons. The record is from RefSeq and is a predicted model, not a curated record.